Molecule: long non-coding RNA, 844 nt
Filed under: Panax ginseng (ginseng)
Lineage: Eukaryota; Viridiplantae; Streptophyta; Magnoliopsida; Apiales; Araliaceae
Description: long non-coding RNA (PGIN_LNC004256)
Source: RNAcentral
CACUACAUAAUCAUUCAUUUUCUUUACAAUUAUCCAUCUAAAGCUAUCACAGUUCUUCAAUCAAAGUAUAUAUCUACAUAUAUAGAGAGAGUACACUUCAUAAUUUCGUCCCUUGUCUUCCGUAAACGUAGCACAGAAAUUUGAUACCCAGUAUUGAAAGACAGGUCGUAGAAGCAAUCUUCCUGCACAUAUUUAAAAAUAAUAGCAAGUCAGAAAAAUGAAACAAAUGGGUCACCAGAGGCACUUGAUGCCAAAAUCAAUACACAAAGACAACAAAGUUGUGUUAUUUUCUUACUAAUCAAGGGACAUGGAAGAAGAUAAUACCAUUUUUAUUGACUACCAAAUUAAUAUCUAAAUCAAAUAUCCUGAAGAAGACAAGCAUGUGCUUCGUGAACCUCGUCCUGGUGGGUAUACAUUAACACACGGAUCAAGAUAAUAAUUGGUGCUCAUAAAUAAUGCUACAAGUGAACAGACAUUUUACAGGCUUUAUAAUGAUGACAGUAUAACUUGAUAAAUAUGUUCGUGCGUGUAGCAAAAGUCAGAAACAUAGUGUUUUACUAUAACUUUUAACUAAAAAGUUAAAGCAGAUGUUUGCAGUUUUAACUAUCAAGUGAGGAAAAAAGAAACGAUACUUGUAUAGGCCAAGACAAGGCACUACUAAUGAGGUACAUAUGUGACUUUCACUUUGUGCUUUCCUCCACCAAUUACUUAACUGACCCCAUUUGUCUCAUCUCAAAUUACAAUCAGCUACACUUUGCAUGUUAUGCCAAACAUACAAACAAAAACCAAAUAGAUAGACCCAAAACAUCACGUAAUUUAACUUGAUUCACUGGAAAUAUGAGCU